AAACAGUAAAUGCUGGCGAUGCUGUGGAGAAAUAGGAAUGCUUUUACAUUGUUGGUAGGAAUGUAAAUUAGUGCUUACGGUUUUUAAAAGGCUUCCAGAGCAGGGGACCCGUAUAUUUAGUCCCAUAGAACACAUCCCUUUACCUGCCUCUUAGCAUUUCAUCCAUCCUUUCUUUAUAUACGUAAUUUCUCCUGGAGUUGAGACAGGAGGUGGCUUGUUACGUGUGUAGAAAAGAGAAAGAAUGGGUGGGUAUGUGAACAAACGGCACUGGGAAAUAGAUGGCAUUGGAAGUGUUGCCACAGCUCUAUGGGAAUUACUUGGAUAUUAUGAUUAAUGGAUAGUCAGACAUCUCUCAAGUAUCAAAGAGUGGUCUUCCCUUAAAGGUUAUUGUUCCCAAGUUUAUCCCUCUCUUGGUGCCCUGGCUCUGGUUUCUUCUAAGUUGCCCCUUGGGUUACUUGUCAUGUGAAUAUCAAGGCCUGAUUCUACCUCUGUGUGAGUUACAAGGGACUGCCUUCCAGUGGAGUUUUGCAGAAUCACAUGUGUCAUAGAGAACAGGUUUUAACGCUGGGCUGUUGUUAGGCUUUAGGGCUAGUGCAGAGAGGCCCCAGAAAGAGCUGAACCUACUGGUGAGGCUUCUUACAAAUCUAAUCAGAGGUGGGGGAAAUUUGGGUGCUGGGAAGAACAGAUUAUGUCCAUGAUUUUAAUGCCCACCUUUAUUUGCAAAGUGAAAGGAGAAAUAUAUUACCCUACUGCAUUUCCUACCCUUCACAUGUCAGCAUAUUUGAUUUUUUUUGGUUUUCAUUUAAAAAAAUGCCCAAAAAAUGUUAAAUAUGCCAAAUAUUUAUUUUUUAAAAAGUAGGCCAAGUAUUAUGUCUUUCUGCUAAAUCUAGUAGGUUCUCUCUCACCCACCUUCUCUCCAACCAGGUGUUUGGAGAAAGGAUCCUUUAUCCAGAAAGGAAUUUUAAACCUCAGAGUUAAGUUCUUCUGCUUGACCUCAGUGCUUCCCUCACUGAAUGUCAUCUUAAGCCAGAAUGUAUUUCAUAGAGUGUUCCUCCUCUUUACUCCUUCCGUCCUUUGAUGCUUUAUGACCCAUGAAAAUAAUGAAAAGUAUUUGUUUUGGCCCCUAGUAUUACCAGGUUUAGGUACUAUUGCUAUCCUGCAUCUUUUUCAUUCUUAUCUCUGCACUAUAGUUCUAUUUCCUUCUUGACUAUUUCACUACUGGAGACAAGUGAGUUAUUUCCCAAGAACUCGUAACUUGCCCUCAGUAUAAGGCUGUGGAUAGACACUCAAGGGCUUUUGGAAUGUUGACUCAUAGGAGCAGUUGCAUUUUGUUACUGGAAUAUAAAGACCUCAUCUUUUAAGGUUUCUUUCUUAACAGUUUUAGAUUCUUGGAUGCUGAAUGUUCACCAGCUCUUCCAGCUAGAUCUGUGGAGUCAGAAUUCCAUGCUCUUUGGGACGUCUGAGAAAGCUAAGGUGCCAUUCCUGUCUCCUCAUUUUGGGGUUCAGAUUGUGAGACAAAAUGCCUGUUGAGACUUCCUGAAAGCAUAGGAAGCAUUGGAGCAGUGGACUCUGGAGUGGCUUCAACAGGCACCUCAGAGCACAGUGGCAGGCUGAGAAUGUCUGCGUGAUCCCACACGAAAAGACUGCCUGGGCCUCGGAAACCACUCCUGCUUGUGUGUUACCUCCUGCUGCUGGACAUGUGUGUGGUGUUUGGUGUUGCCACAGCAUGGAGGGAAAUGGAGAACAAACGGUGUCAGCUCCUUGGAUAUUAGUUAACCUCAUUCAGAUGAUUCUUAGGUGUCCUAUUGGGAAGUAAACCGAUUUCCCUUGUUUCGCCGUAGAACCUGAUUGCUCACAUACAGCAGAGAACGAAUACAUAGCAUAAGGCGCCAAUUGCCAGGCUGACCAGGGUAGUAGGGAACUGGGUCCCACUUCCGUAGCACCCCCAACCCUAUCUUCUAGAGUUGGACUGCACAUUGCUAACUCGGCUUCCUUUUUUUUUUUCUUUUGGAUCUCUUUAGAUUAGAAAAAAUCUGUAUUUGACUUUCCUAUGUUCAUUCUGAUUUCAUUCAGUCCUUCCCUCUGAAGCAGCUCCCCCACUCUCUCCACUUAGCUCCUAUCUUACUUCACCAUAUCUUUUCUAGUCCAUAAAUACUACCUUCCAUCCUUUAUUCUGGUCCUUGAACUCUUUCCUUUAUGCUUCUGUUUUUCCUACCAAUCCCCAACUCAUACAGAACCCUACUGUAGGAAAACAUAACUGAGAAGAAUUUAACUGGGUUUGAAUAAUUAAAUAAAUUCCCAUAUGAAGGUGCAGUUAAUAAUUUUCUAGAUACUUUGUACACAUGACACUGAAAAGCGGUACAGAGUCUAUAAAAUAGCUCACUUGGGGGAAAAUUACCAUUGCUACAUUUUCAGCCUUAAGUCAUAAGGAGUGCAGAUGGUUAGCCAGCCUGUGUUUCUCCCACCCACCUUCGUUUUAAACUGUCCUACCCUGGAGAGAUGGAUGCUUAUAAAGUAAACGAAGAAGACUUUCCUUUACCUCUAGGAUGACAUAGAUUGUGAUUGACAGGGUCCAGGUAGCUCUUAGUAUGUGAAGGGGAGUUAUAAUGUGUUAGACUUUCUUGAUUCAUUCCGUAAACACCUAUUCCUAGUUCUUGUCUGAAUCUGCAUUUAUUUUGCAGCAAAGAUGUCCCCAAAUAAGGUGCCUAUAUAUAGCAACAGAUUCUACUUCCUUACAUCUUGUUUCAGAACAGCUCACACAGUUUUUUAAACACAUUUCAAUGGGCACAGAAUCCAUCGUGGUAGGAAGUAAAACUGUUUUUACAUGUAUAUUCGGUCACUUCCCAGUUUUUUCUUUUUCUUUUUGUUUUUUUCUUGCAAGCUCCUUUUGUCCCGGCUGACUGAGACCUGCAUAACAUCUCAGCCAGCUGAGUUGGACAUUCUGGGGUUUUUGUUAGUGUCUAAAUCUAUGCAGAACAGUA
This is a long non-coding RNA of Sapajus apella (tufted capuchin), 2981 nucleotides long. RefSeq lists it as uncharacterized. The transcript has 2 exons. Lineage: Eukaryota; Metazoa; Chordata; Mammalia; Primates; Cebidae. The record is from RefSeq and is a predicted model, not a curated record.